Molecule: long non-coding RNA, 895 nt
Filed under: Salmo salar (Atlantic salmon)
Lineage: Eukaryota; Metazoa; Chordata; Actinopteri; Salmoniformes; Salmonidae
Description: lncRNA (ENSSSAG00000100870.1, ENSSSAG00000104074.1)
Source: RNAcentral
GUAGGAGAACAGACCUGGAGGGGGGUUACAGUGAGAUUAUUAAUCGAAAUCAGACGUCGGGAGGUUGAAAUCGUCAAGUGUGAAGAGUGGUGAUCCAUCGCCAGGGUAUUAGCUUAUCAAGGUGUUAAGUUUAGCUUGGGUGGACAAGAGACAGUGACAGUACUGAAUUCAAAUGAAGAGAUGAACAGGUGAGAUUGGAGAUGAACAGGUGUUAUUGGAGAUGAACAGGUGAGAUUGGAGAUGGACAGGUGAGAUUGGAGAUGGACAGGUGAGAUUGGAGAUGGACAGGUGAGAGAGGAGAUGAACAGGUGAGAUUGGAGAUGGACAGGUGAGAGAGGAGAUGAACAGGUGAGAUUGGAGAUGGACAGGUGAGAGAGGAGAUGAACAGGUGAGAUUGGAGAUGGACAGGUGAGAUUGGAGAUGGACAGGUGAGAUUGGAGAUGGACAGGUGAGAUUGGAGAUGGACAGGUGGGAUUGGAGAUAGACAGGUAAGAUUGGAGAUGGACAGGUGCAAGAGGGAGAAAAGAGAACAUCUCCAUUCAGCAGAAACAAGUAGCCCUGUUCCACCACCGUGACGACCAGAUGCUCUCGGAAUGUGAAACAUGUAGUCAGACGAAGAGAGAGCAGCCGGAGCAGCAGAGUUCUCUGGGUUGAUCAGACGAAGAGAGAGCAGCCGGAGCAGCAGGGUUCUCUGGGGUGAUCAUAUGAAGAGAGAGCAGCCGGAGCAGCAGGGUUCUCUGGGGUGAUCAUAUGAAGAGAGAGCAGCCGGAGCAGCAGAGUUCUCUGGGGUGAUCCAUGCUUCCGUCUGGACCAAAAAGUCAAGGGACUGAAGGGCAGCAUAGACUGAGAAGAACUUGACGUUCUUGACCUCAGAUCUGCAGUUCCAAACACCGCC